UUAUGUAAAAAUAUUUUAUUGAUUGUACAGCAAAUGCAUUUUUAUACAUUAUGUAAUUUUGUACUGGGAGUCUCAUUGGGGUCUAUAAAGCAUGUUGUAGGAUUGGCCGUCUUUUUUUAUGUGCAUGACACAUGGAAAUCAAAUUAUUUUGCAUGAAAAUAGGAAACGAAGUUGAGCAGGACAAGUGAAAUUAUUAGCAGGAUACUGGAUUCUGACAAAACAGUUUUAGCAAAAUUUGAGAUCAGACCAAACCUCCCAAUGAGACCCCAUGUACACAGGUACAAUUACUAUCCUCACAACACCAUGAUAUUGAUAGAUAUAUGUAAUACAUGACAGGAAUAAGACUAGAAUGUAAGUAAUCUCAGACUUAUCUAUAUAAGGAUACCUAUAUAUGGUUCCAAUGAGAUUUAUGUUUCUGUGUUAUUUUUUUUAAAUUGAUGAACAAUAAUCAGUGUAUAUUUGUGUAAUUUUUAUAUUUGCAAGAGUCUUAUGAAAAUAAUAAGUUUGAAGUAUUAAAAUAUAUGAUAAGACUUACAACCAACUUAGCUGCCUUGCUGUUGAAUGGUUGGUGAUCACACUAGAUAUACUACUUACUUAAUAGACAUUAGGCUAGUGGAACCCCAACUAACAAUUACACAAAAGCUGUGCUAGAAAAAUUUUGUUACAAUAUAUAAGUUAUGUAUAAAAGCAGUGAGAUGUAUAAGAAAUAUUAAAAGACAUUAAUCGUGGCAGAUU
This 735-nucleotide long non-coding RNA is filed under the name Mytilus galloprovincialis (Mediterranean mussel). The record is from RNAcentral. Lineage: Eukaryota; Metazoa; Mollusca; Bivalvia; Mytilida; Mytilidae.